CUGGUUUGGGCUUUUAGUUGUUAACUAAAGGUUUACGGGAUCGAGGCCCGUCGGUCUAG
RNAcentral lists this transfer RNA (59 nucleotides) under Pygopus nigriceps. RNAcentral's name for it is "tRNA-Asn". Lineage: Eukaryota; Metazoa; Chordata; Lepidosauria; Squamata; Pygopodidae. The record is from RNAcentral.